CUACUUUAGAGUCAAGGUUUUAUGGAAUUAACUCUUUGUGAGGUACUCAAAGGCCUGUAUUUGAGAUAAAGCUUCCGAAGUUCAUACCGAAGGUGAUUCCUAAUGUGUUAAGAUGUCCAUUCAUCACUUGAACCAGGUUUAUGCAUUUGCACGUGGAAUUUAGAGAAAUACAACAUUACUAUUUUGACUUUUUUGGAAAUACUUUUGAAUAAGUGAGCACUCUACAAUAUUUUAUGAAACUGAAAAAUGCCAUUUAUUUAUGAAAUGAUUUUCUGUAAGCAGUAACAGAUAACAGGUCCCCACCCCCUUUUUCUUUUUACUGUAGGCAUGAAGCAAGAAGAAAGUGUAACAAGGACUGAGGGAGAGAGCAGCAGAAGAUGAGAUCAUUUUGGAGAAUGUUCCAGACUCACAUUUGGAUUGGUGUUCCAAGAAUUCUCCAAAGGCUGUCCACAUGCAUUUUGAAGAGCUCUUUCAGCAUCAAAUGGCUCUCACAAAAAAAGGCUUUUUAUCAACUGAAUGAGAAAGGGGAACAUGAUUCAAAGGAGAAAAAAAAAUCCUGCUGUAGGCUUUUUCUGAGGUAAACCACGGAGAGAGCUCUAGGUUAGAAAAUUGCUUUCAC
Molecule: long non-coding RNA, 619 nt
Filed under: Vulpes vulpes (red fox)
Lineage: Eukaryota; Metazoa; Chordata; Mammalia; Carnivora; Canidae
Description: lncRNA (ENSVVUG00000000059.1)
Source: RNAcentral